Suricata suricatta (meerkat) is the source of this 610-nucleotide long non-coding RNA. RefSeq lists it as uncharacterized. The record is from RefSeq and is a predicted model, not a curated record. Lineage: Eukaryota; Metazoa; Chordata; Mammalia; Carnivora; Herpestidae. The transcript is spliced from 2 exons.
CAAAUAGGAUGGAGCAUGGCCCUGGCCUAACCUGGGGUGGUGGAAGUCAGAGUUCCCCGUUUAUUAUCCGGGUCCAGACCAGCCCAAGCUUCCCAACAGUACUGUGGGCUGGAGGGGACCUGGGUAAAGUGCUCCACAUUGUGAAGUGAGACCUUGACAUCUCUUCUCGCAGAAAAACUCAACUGGGUGCUUCAGUUCUAUUAUUAACAGUUCUGCGACCUGCUCCAGGGGACUGGAACUCAGACCCUAAAUCACCUCCCUGCUGCUCCAUGGAAAGCCCUGUGUGGCAAGGCAGUGAGGCCCUCAGGCCAACAGUCCGCUAUGACCUGAAUCCUGCCAACAACUGCAGAAUGAGCUAGGAUCGGAUCCUGUCCCUGCUGAACCAUGAGAUCACAGUGACCCUGGCCAACACCUUGAUUGCAGCCUUGAGGGACCCUGAGCGAAAGAGCUAAGCCACAUCCAGAUGCUUGACCCACAGAAACUGAGGGAUGAGAAAAAUGGAGUGACUUGCUACAUACAGCUGAUGAAAGCCACUAAGUAUAAUGCAUUAUCCUGAACUGGAUCCUGGAACUGGAAAAAAAAAAAAAAGACUAAGAAAGACAUUGUUUAG